Molecule: ribosomal RNA, 345 nt
Filed under: uncultured bacterium
Lineage: Bacteria
Description: partial 16S ribosomal RNA
Rfam family: Bacterial small subunit ribosomal RNA
Source: RNAcentral
GCCCAGACUCCUACGGGAGGCAGCAGUGGGGGAUAUUGCACAAUGGGGGGAACCCUGAUGCAGCGACGCUGCGUGGGAGAAGGAGCGUUUCGGCGCGUAAAGCCCUAUCGGCAGGGAAGAAGAUGACGGCACCUGACCAAGAAGCCCCGGCUAACUACGUGCCAGCAGCCGCGGCAAUACGUAGGGGGCAAGCGUUAUCCGGAUUUACUGGGUGUAAAGGGGGCGCAGACGGCAAUGCAAGCCAGGAGUGAACGCCCGGGGCCCAACCCCGGGACUGCUCUUGGAACUGCGUGGCUAGAGUGCAGUGGGGGCAGGCGGAAUUCCUGGUGUGGCGGUGAAAUGCGU